GACGAACGCUGGCGGCGUGCUUAACACAUGCAAGUCGAACGGGUCUGCCCUGUUUUUUGCGGGGUGGGUCAGUGGCGAACGGGUGAGUAACACGUGAGUAACCUGCCCCUCACUUCUGGAUAACCGCUUGAAAGGGUGGCUAAUACGGGGUGUUCUGGCUGUGCCGCAUGGUGUGGCUGGGAAAGAUUCACUUUUGUGGUGUUUUGGUGGGGGAUGGGCUCGCGGCCUAUCAGCUUGUUGGUGGGGUGAUGGCCUGCCAAGGCUUUGACGGGUAGCCGGCCUGGGAGGGUUGGCGGUCACACUGGGACUGAGAGGCGGCCCAGACUCCGGCGGGAGGCAGCAGGGGGGGGUAUUGCACAAUGGGCGGAAGCCUGAUGCAGCGACGUCGCGUGAGGGAUGGAGGCCUUCGGGUUGUGAACCUCUUUCGCCGGUGAAGAAGGUCCUGCUCUUUGUGGUGGGGUUGACGGUAGCCGGGUUAUGAAGCGCCGGCUAACUACGUG
Molecule: ribosomal RNA, 500 nt
Filed under: uncultured bacterium
Lineage: Bacteria
Description: partial 16S ribosomal RNA
Rfam family: Bacterial small subunit ribosomal RNA
Source: RNAcentral